Papaver somniferum (opium poppy) is the source of this 72-nucleotide small nucleolar RNA. RefSeq annotates it as small nucleolar RNA snoR60. The record is from RefSeq and is a predicted model, not a curated record. The transcript has a single exon. NCBI's taxonomy places the organism in Eukaryota, Viridiplantae, Streptophyta, Magnoliopsida, Ranunculales, Papaveraceae.
UAGCAUAUGAUCCUACAUACUCGGAUUCCCUUUCAGACAUUUUGGGUGAUGUGAAGUCGAGUUUCUGAUGUG